Molecule: ribosomal RNA, 440 nt
Filed under: uncultured bacterium
Lineage: Bacteria
Description: partial 16S ribosomal RNA
Rfam family: Bacterial small subunit ribosomal RNA
Source: RNAcentral
CCUACGGGUGACAGCAGUGGGGAAUAUUGCACAAUGGGGGAAACCCUGAUGCAGCGACGCCGCGUGAGCGAUGAAGUAUUUCGGUAUGUAAAGCUCUAUCAGCAGGGAAGAAGAUGACGGUACCUGACUAAGAAGCCCCGGCUAACUACGUGCCAGCAGCCGCGGUAAUACGUAGGGGGCAAGCGUUAUCCGGAUUUACUGGGUGUAAAGGGAGCGUAGACGGCGAUGCAAGUCAAGGGUGAAAUCCCCGCGCUCAACGUGGGAACUGCCUUUGAAACUGGCAAACUGGAGUGUGUGAGAGGAUAGUGGAAUUCCAGGUGUAGGAGUGAAAUCCGUAGAUAUCUGGAGGAACAUCAGUGGCGAAGGCGACUAUCUGGCACAUAACUGACGCUGAGGAGCGAAAGCGUGGGUAGCAAACAGGAUUAGAUACCCGAGUAGUC